RNAcentral lists this ribosomal RNA (497 nucleotides) under uncultured bacterium. RNAcentral describes it as "partial 16S ribosomal RNA". It matches the Rfam family "Bacterial small subunit ribosomal RNA", at positions 28 to 507 of the family's 1533-position model. The record is from RNAcentral.
GACGAACGCUGGCGGCGUGCCUAAUACAUGCAAGUUGAGCGCUGAAGGUUGGUACUUGUACCGACUGGAUGAGCAGCGCACGGGUGAGUAACGCGUGGGGAAUCUGCCUUUGAGCGGGGGACAACAUUUGGAAACGAAUGCUAAUACCGCAUAAAAACUUUAAACACAAGUUUUAAGUUUGAAAGAUGCAAUUGCAUCACUCAAAGAUGAUCCCGCGUUGUAUUAGCUAGUUGGUGAGGUAAAGGCUCACCAAGGCGAUGAUACAUAGCCGACCUGAGAGGGUGGUCGGCCACAUUGGGACUGAGACACGGCCCAAACUCCUACGGGAGGCAGCAGUAGGGAAACUUCGGCAAUGGACGAAAGUCUGACCGAGCAACGCCGCGGGAGUGAAGAAGGUUUUCGGAUCGUAAAACUCUGUUGGUAGAGAAGAACGUUGGUGAGAGUGGAAAGCUCAUCAAGUGACGGUAACUACCCAGAAAGGGACGGCUAACUACGUG